UACGGAGGAUGCGAGCGUUAUCCGGAUUUAUUGGGUUUAAAGGGUGCGUAGGCGGAGUGCCAAGUCAGCGGUAAAAAUUCGGGGCUCAACCCCGUCGUGCCGUUGAAACUGGCGCCCUUGAGUGGGCGAGAAGUAUGCGGAAUGCGUGGUGUAGCGGUGAAAUGCAUAGAUAUCACGCAGAACCCCGAUUGCGAAGGCAGCAUACCGGCGCCCGACUGACGCUGAAGCACGAAAGCGUGGGUAUUGAACAGG
Molecule: ribosomal RNA, 252 nt
Filed under: uncultured bacterium
Lineage: Bacteria
Description: partial 16S ribosomal RNA
Rfam family: Bacterial small subunit ribosomal RNA
Source: RNAcentral